Molecule: ribosomal RNA, 375 nt
Filed under: uncultured eukaryote
Lineage: Eukaryota
Description: partial 18S ribosomal RNA
Rfam family: Eukaryotic small subunit ribosomal RNA
Source: RNAcentral
CAAGAGCGUAUAUUAAAGUUGCUGCGGUUAAAAAGCUCGUAGUUGGAUUUCAGUCUAGGAAGGUUAACUCGCCGAAAGGUUGUACGUUGAUUUUCCUCAGACUUCGUCAGAAGCUCGUGCUGCACUUAACUGUGUGGUACGAUGUUCUGACCUUUACCUUGAGGAAAGUAGAGUGUUUCAGGCAGGCUACCCAGCUUGAAUACAUUAGCAUGGAAUAAUGAAAUGGAUCUCGGUUCGAUUUCGUUGGUUCUAGAGCUGAGGUGAUGAUCAAUAGGAACAGGCGAAGGUAUUCGUACUUGAGAGUGAGGAGUGAAAUCCGAUGAUCUCUUAAAGACGAUCCGAGGCGAAAGCAUUUGUCAAGGAUGUUUUCAUUGA